CCCGCUCAGAAACUUAAAGGAAUUGACGGGGGCCCGCACAAGCGGUGGAGCAUGUGGUUUAAUUCGAUGAUGCGCGAGGAACCUUACCUGGGCUCAAAUGUAUGUUGACGUAUUCUGAAAGGGAUACUUCUUCGGACAAUAUACAAGGUGCUGCAUGGUUGUCGUCAGCUCGUGCCGUGAGGUGUCGGGUUAAGUCCCAUAACGAGCGCAACCCCUAUCAUUAGUUGCCAUCAGGUCAAGCUGGGGACUCUAAUGAAACUGCCUACGCAAGUAGUGAGGAAGGUGGGGAUGACGUCAAAUCAGCACGGCCCUUACGUCCAGGGCUACACACGUGCUACAAUGGCCGGUACAAAGGGCAGCUACCUGGUGACAGGAUGCUAAUCUCAAAAGCCGGUCUCAGUUCGGAUUGAAGUCUGCAACUCGACUUCAUGAAGUCGGAAUCGCUAGUAAUCGUGAAUCAGAAUGUCACGGUGAAUACGUUCCCGGGCCUU
Molecule: ribosomal RNA, 491 nt
Filed under: uncultured Sphingobacteriales bacterium
Lineage: Bacteria; Pseudomonadati; Bacteroidota; Sphingobacteriia; Sphingobacteriales
Description: bacterial SSU rRNA
Rfam family: Bacterial small subunit ribosomal RNA
Source: RNAcentral